UACGGGGGGAGCAAGCGUUGUUCGGAUUUACUGGGCGUAAAGGGCGCGUAGGCGGUCAGCACAAGUCAGUUGUGAAAUCUCCGGGCUUAACUCGGAAAGGUCAACUGAUACUGUGCGACUAGAGUGCGGAAGGGGCAACUGGAAUUCUCGGUGUAGCGGUGAAAUGCGUAGAUAUCUGGAGGAACACCGGUGGCGAAGGCGGCAUCCUGGACCGAGAUUGACGCUGAGGCGCGAAAGCCAGGGGAGCAAACGGG
RNAcentral lists this ribosomal RNA (254 nucleotides) under uncultured bacterium. RNAcentral describes it as "partial 16S ribosomal RNA". It matches the Rfam family "Bacterial small subunit ribosomal RNA", at positions 524 to 776 of the family's 1533-position model. The record is from RNAcentral.